UAGGACAAGUUUUAUUAUCACUAAUGUCCCCUGAAACUGGAUAUAUACACAUUGAUUCUAUUCAUCUUUACCAGAUUUUAUUCUCAAGAGAACUAAUAAAUUCUCUUAAAAAAUAAACAAUCUUUCUUCCUAUUACAACUCUAUCUACCACUCUAUCUGCCUUAUGAGCUCUUUUCAGUGGCAUUAUGCUGAUCCUUUGGCCCCGCAGAUUGG
RNAcentral lists this unclassified non-coding RNA (213 nucleotides) under Hevea brasiliensis (rubber tree). Lineage: Eukaryota; Viridiplantae; Streptophyta; Magnoliopsida; Malpighiales; Euphorbiaceae. The record is from RNAcentral.